AAGGUUAAAACUCAAAUGAAUUGACGGGGGCCCGCACAAGCGGUGGAGCAUGUGGUUUAAUUCGAUGCAACGCGAAGAACCUUACCUGGUCUUGACAUCCACGGAAGUUUUCAGAGAUGAGAAUGUGCCUUCGGGAACCGUGAGACAGGUGCUGCAUGGCUGUCGUCAGCUCGUGUUGUGAAAUGUUGGGUUAAGUCCCGCAACGAGCGCAACCCUUAUCCUUUGUUGCCAGCGGUCCGGCCGGGAACUCAAAGGAGACUGCCAGUGAUAAACUGGAGGAAGGUGGGGAUGACGUCAAGUCAUCAUGGCCCUUACGACCAGGGCUACACACGUGCUACAAUGGCGCAUACAAAGAGAAGCGACCUCGCGAGAGCAAGCGGACCUCAUAAAGUGCGUCGUAGUCCGGAUUGGAGUCUGCAACUCGACUCCAUGAAGUCGGAAUCGCUAGUAAUCGUGGAUCAGAAUGCCACGGUGAAUACGUUCCCGGGCCUUGUACACACCGCCCGUCACACCAUGGGAGUGGGUUGCAAAAGAAGUAGGUAGCUUAACCUUCGGGAGGGCGCUUACCACUUUGUGAUUCAUGACUGGGGUGAAGUCGUAACAAGGUAACCGUAGGGGAACCUGCGGUUGGAUCACCUCCUUACCUUAAAGAAGC
This 655-nucleotide ribosomal RNA is filed under the name Shigella flexneri. Its description in RNAcentral is "bacterial SSU rRNA". It matches the Rfam family "Bacterial small subunit ribosomal RNA", at positions 890 to 1533 of the family's 1533-position model. Lineage: Bacteria; Pseudomonadati; Pseudomonadota; Gammaproteobacteria; Enterobacterales; Enterobacteriaceae. The record is from RNAcentral.